AGAGUUUGAUCCUGGCUCAGGAUGAACGCUAGCUACAGGCUUAACACAUGCAAGUCGAGGGGCAGCAUGGCCUUAGCUUGCUAAGGCUGAUGGCGACCGGCGCACGGGUGAGUAACACGUAUCCAACCUGCCGUCUACUCUUGGCCAGCCUUCUGAAAGGAAGAUUAAUCCAGGAUGGGAUCAUGAGUUCGACAUGUCCGCAUGAUUAAAGGUAUUUUCCGGUAGACGAUGGGGAUGCGUUCCAUUAGAUAGUAGGCGGGGUAACGGCCACCUAGUCAACGAUGGAUAGGGGUUCUGAGAGGAAGGUCCCCCACAUUGGAACUGAGACACGGUCCAAACUCCUACGGGAGGCA
This 353-nucleotide ribosomal RNA is filed under the name uncultured bacterium. RNAcentral describes it as "bacterial SSU rRNA". It matches the Rfam family "Bacterial small subunit ribosomal RNA", at positions 8 to 350 of the family's 1533-position model. The record is from RNAcentral.